AACCUAACAGCUAGCUUAAAUUUA
RNAcentral lists this ribosomal RNA (24 nucleotides) under Scriptaphyosemion guignardi. RNAcentral's name for it is "partial 16S ribosomal RNA". Lineage: Eukaryota; Metazoa; Chordata; Actinopteri; Cyprinodontiformes; Nothobranchiidae. The record is from RNAcentral.